This 978-nucleotide long non-coding RNA is filed under the name Triticum aestivum (bread wheat). RNAcentral describes it as "long non-coding RNA (TAES_LNC021286)". Lineage: Eukaryota; Viridiplantae; Streptophyta; Magnoliopsida; Poales; Poaceae. The record is from RNAcentral.
UCUCCUCAUCUAGAGUUUUUUAUUCCAUUCAAGCUACUCUGGUAAGUGGUGUAUAUGUUGAUCCGUUUUGUAAUACCCAUGAAGCAAAUUGGUUGCCACACCUCCGUUACACCAUUUGACUCUCAUCAGGUUGUUGCUCAUCCAUUGUUUUUUUAAUCAGGUAGCUGGAUGCUCGCAUCCAAGAUCUGCAUGACUGCAGGUGAUUACGAAAUAGUUUCCCAACUUCUCUGUUUUAGCUACCUAAGAAAGGGUAUCUAUCCAAGGCAUGCAUCAUUAGUCCAACAUAAAAUUUCCACACCCAAGGUCAUCUGUGAUCGGAGGAACACUUUAUGUACAGACACAUGAAAGUGAAACUGAAGAGCUAUGUAACUACUCUAUGUAAUAUGGGCUUUUAUUUUUGACAAGGUAUGUUAAUUAUAUGAGAUGACCACUAAGUUGAUUUUUUUCAGAGGUAUGGAUCUGUUAUUUUAGUUUAUAUCCCAUGAUGUCUCUUUCCUUUGUAAAGCAUGAAAUUGCAUCGGUCCUAACCAUGUAUUGUCAUAUCGCGCAACCCAGGAAUUGAUGAUAUUAAAAGAGAAGUAUGAUGAUCAGUUGUAUGAAAAUAUUCGAUACAUCUAGGACUAUGGUCAUGAGAGGAUUGUUCCUACAGGACCAAUGAAUGUUAAAUAUAUCACUGACCAUGUAUUGUCAUAUUUGCACAUCCUAGGAACUGAUGAGAUUAAAAGAGAAGUAUGGUUCCAGUUGUAUGGAAAGAUUUGAUACAUCCAAGACUACAGUAAUAACAAAAUUGUCUCUAGAGGACCAGUGAAUAUUUUAUAUAAAUUCCGACAAUGGACUUCACAUACUUUAUAUUGUGUAUCAUUUGAUCUUGGUUUUGUUGUUUUCUUGAGGAAUGUAGGUAUAUUGUUGUUUUCUUGAGGAAUACAUGUUAUCUAUGGUAUGUACUCAGUUUAAGUUUCAACCCUUCUCAUAUUUAUU